RNAcentral lists this ribosomal RNA (231 nucleotides) under uncultured bacterium. Its description in RNAcentral is "partial 16S ribosomal RNA". It matches the Rfam family "Bacterial small subunit ribosomal RNA", at positions 29 to 250 of the family's 1533-position model. The record is from RNAcentral.
AACGAACGCUGGCGGCGCGCUUAACACAUGCAAGUCGAACGAGAAGGCGUAGCAAUACGCUUGUAAAGUGGCGAACGGGUGAGGAAUACAUGGGUAACCUACCCUCGAGUGGGGGAUAACCCGCCGAAAGGCGGGCUAAUACCGCGUACGCUUCCGAUCUUGCGGGAUCGGAAGGAAAGCUGUCCCUUGGGGAUGGCGCUCAAGGAUGGGCUCAUGUCCUAUCAGCUUGUU